RNAcentral lists this ribosomal RNA (497 nucleotides) under uncultured bacterium. Its description in RNAcentral is "partial 16S ribosomal RNA". It matches the Rfam family "Bacterial small subunit ribosomal RNA", at positions 28 to 507 of the family's 1533-position model. The record is from RNAcentral.
GAUGAACGCUGGCGGCGUGCCUAAUACAUGCAAGUCGAGCGAACGGACGAGAGGCUUGCUUUUCUGAUGUUAGCGGCGGACGGGUGAGUAACACGUGGAUAACCUACCUAUAAGACUGGGAUAACUUCGGGAAACCGGAGCUAAUACCGGAUAAUAUUUUGAACCGCAUGGUUCAAAAGUAAAAGACGGUCUUGCUGUCACUUAUAGAUGGAUCCUCGCUGAAUUAGCUCGUUGGUAAGGUAACGGCUUACCAAGGCAACGAUGCAUAGCGGACCUGAGAGGGUGACCGGCCACACGGGAACUGAGACACGGUCCAGACUCCUACGAGAGGCCGCAGGAUGGAAUCUUACGCAAUUGGCGAAAGCCUGACGGAGCAACGCCGCGUCAGUGAUGAACGUCUUCGGAUCGUAAAACUCUGUUAUUAGGGAAGAACAUAUGUGUAAGUAACUGUGCACAUCUUGACGGCACCUAAUCAGAAAGCCACGGCUAACUACGUG